GGAUCUGAAGGCGAUGUGGCUGUGACAUCUGUCACCCCACUGAUCACCAGAGUUGAUUGGGCUGAUCUGGCUAGGCAGGUGUCCCCCUUCCUCCCUCACCACUCCCUGUGCUUCCCCUCCCAAAUAGAGACGGACCAGGCUUUGUUCAAGGGCAUAUGAGUAGUUGUGCUCCCCUGCUAGGACCUCCAAAUAAGCUCUCGAUCUCUGAGAGAACAAACCUACAAUGACAAACAUCACCACUGUAGUAACUCAGCAUCAUACUGAGUAGUUUCACUGU
Molecule: unclassified non-coding RNA, 277 nt
Organism: Erinaceus europaeus (western European hedgehog)
Lineage: Eukaryota; Metazoa; Chordata; Mammalia; Eulipotyphla; Erinaceidae
Gene: 7SK
Rfam family: 7SK RNA
About the family: 7SK was discovered as an abundant small nuclear RNA in the mid-70s but a possible function has only recently been suggested. Two independent studies have found that 7SK RNA binds the CDK9/cyclin T complex (known as elongation factor P-TEFb).
Source: Ensembl